Molecule: ribosomal RNA, 769 nt
Filed under: uncultured bacterium
Lineage: Bacteria
Description: bacterial SSU rRNA
Rfam family: Bacterial small subunit ribosomal RNA
Source: RNAcentral
UGGCCGAUCGCCUUGAGUUGAUAUGGCUCGAGUGAACGCUGGCGGCAGGCCUAACACAUGCAAGUCGAGCGGCAGCGCGGUGUAGCAAUACACUGGCGGCGAGCGGCGGACGGGUGAGGAAUGCAUCGGAAUCUGCCUCUUUGUGGGGGAUAACGUAGGGAAACUUACGCUAAUACCGCAUACGACCUACGGGUGAAAGUGGGGGACCGCAAGGCCUCACGCAGAGAGAUGAGCCGAUGCCGGAUUAGCUAGUUGGCGGGGUAAAGGCCCACCAAGGCGACGAUCCGUAGCUGGUCUGAGAGGAUGAUCAGCCACACUGGAACUGAGACACGGUCCAGACUCCUACGGGAGGCAGCAGUGGGGAAUAUUGGACAAUGGGCGCAAGCCUGAUCCAGCCAUGCCGCGUGUGUGAAGAAGGCCUUCGGGUUGUAAAGCACUUUUGUCUGGGAAGAAAGCCACGGGGUUAAUAGCCUAGUGGGAUGACGGUACCGGAAGAAUAAGCACCGGCUAACUUCGUGCCAGCAGCCGCGGUAAUACGAAGGGUGCAAGCGUUACUCGGAAUUACUGGGCGUAAAGCGUGCGUAGGUGGUUCGUUAAGUCCGAUGUGAAAGCCCUGGGCUCAACCUGGGAAUGGCAUUGGAAACUGGCGAGCUAGAGUGCGGUAGAGGGGUGCGGAAUUCCCGGUGUAGCAGUGAAAUGCGUAGAUAUCGGGAGGAACAUCCGUGGCGAAGGCGGCACCCUGGACCAGCACUGACACUGAGGCACGAAA